RNAcentral lists this ribosomal RNA (301 nucleotides) under uncultured bacterium. Its description in RNAcentral is "partial 16S ribosomal RNA". It matches the Rfam family "Bacterial small subunit ribosomal RNA", at positions 509 to 809 of the family's 1533-position model. The record is from RNAcentral.
CAGCAGCCGCGGGAAUACAGAGGAUGCAAGCGUUAUCCGGAAUGAUUGGGCGUAAAGCGUCUGUAGGUGGCUUUUCAAGUCCGCCGUCAAAUCCCAGGGCUCAACCCUGGACAGGCGGUGGAAACUACCAAGCUGGAGUACGGUAGGGGCAGAGGGAAUUUCCAGUGGAGCGGUGAAAUGCGUUGAGAUCGAAAAGAACACCAACAGCGAAAGCACUCUGCUGGGACGACACUGACACUAAGAGACGAAAGCUAGGGGAGCAAAUGGGAUUAGAUACCCGCGUAGUCCCUGUCUCUUAUAA